AGUCGAGCGGAGAUGAGGUGCUUGCACCUUAUCUUAGCGGCGGACGGGUGAGUAAUGCUUAGGAAUCUGCCUAUUAGUGGGGGACAACAUUCCGAAAGGAAUGCUAAUACCGCAUACGUCCUACGGGAGAAAGCAGGGGAUCUUCGGACCUUGCGCUAAUAGAUGAGCCUAAGUCGGAUUAGCUAGUUGGUGGGGUAAAGGCCUACCAAGGCGACGAUCUGUAGCGGGUCUGAGAGGAUGAUCCGCCACACUGGGACUGAGACACGGCCCAGACUCCUACGGGAGGCAGCAGUGGGGAAUAUUGGACAAUGGGGGGAACCCUGAUCCAGCCAUGCCGCGUGUGUGAAGAAGGCCUUAUGGUUGUAAAGCACUUUAAGCGAGGAGGAGGCUACUGAGACUAAUACUCUUGGAUAGUGGACGUUACUCGCAGAAUAAGCACCGGCUAACUCUGUGCCAGCAGCCGCGGUAAUACAGAGGGUGCGAGCGUUAAUCGGAUUUACUGGGCGUAAAGCGUGCGUAGGCGGCUUUUUAAGUCGGAUGUGAAAUCCCCGAGCUUAACUUGGGAAUUGCAUUCGAUACUGGGAAGCUAGAGUAUGGGAGAGGAUGGUAGAAUUCCAGGUGUAGCGGUGAAAUGCGUAGAGAUCUGGAGGAAUACCGAUGGCGAAGGCAGCCAUCUGGCCUAAUACUGACGCUGAGGUACGAAAGCAUGGGGAGCAAACAGGAUUAGAUACCCUGGUAGUCCAUGCCGUAAACGAUGUCUACUAGCCGUUGGGGCCUUUGAGGCUUUAGUGGCGCAGCUA
RNAcentral lists this ribosomal RNA (800 nucleotides) under uncultured bacterium. RNAcentral's name for it is "bacterial SSU rRNA". It matches the Rfam family "Bacterial small subunit ribosomal RNA", at positions 60 to 854 of the family's 1533-position model. The record is from RNAcentral.